GACGAACGCUGGCGGCGUGCCUAAUACAUGCAAGUUGAGCGCUGAAGGUUGGUACUUGUACCAACUGGAUGAGCAGCGAACGGGUGAGUAACGCGUGGGGAAUCUGCCUUUGAGCGGGGGACAACAUUUGGAAACGAAUGCUAAUACCGCAUAAAAACUUUAAACACAAGUUUUAAGUUUGAAAGAUGCAAUUGCAUCACUCAAAGAUGAUCCCGCGUUGUAUUAGCUAGUUGGUGAGGUAAAGGCUCACCAAGGCGAUGAUACAUAGCCGACCUGAGAGGGUGAUCGGCCACAUUGGGACGGAGACACGGCCCAAACUCCUACGGGAGGCAGCAGUAGGGAAUCUUCGGCAAUGGACGAAAGUCGGACCGAGCAACGCCGCGUGAGUGAAGAAGGUUUUCGGAUCGUAAAACUCUGUUGGUAGAGAAGAACGUUGGUGAGAGUGGAAAGCUCAUCAAGUGACGGUAACUACCCAGAAAGGGACGGCUAACUACGUG
RNAcentral lists this ribosomal RNA (497 nucleotides) under uncultured bacterium. RNAcentral's name for it is "partial 16S ribosomal RNA". It matches the Rfam family "Bacterial small subunit ribosomal RNA", at positions 28 to 507 of the family's 1533-position model. The record is from RNAcentral.